Molecule: long non-coding RNA, 197 nt
Organism: Bufo bufo (common toad)
Lineage: Eukaryota; Metazoa; Chordata; Amphibia; Anura; Bufonidae
Exons: 3
Source: RefSeq, a predicted model, not a curated record
ACCUAGAGGCUCUGCUCUCUCUGCAGCUGCUACGUCCUCUGCACUUUGAUUGACAGGGACAGGCAGGGAAAAUGUGAUCACGCCUGGCCUGUCAAAGUGCAGAGGGCGCAGCAGUUAGAGAGAGCAGAGCCUCUAGGUGUAAUGACAAUGCCCCUGUUGCUCCUAGAGGCUAAUUUGCAUGUAUAACACAUCAUUUU